This 531-nucleotide ribosomal RNA is filed under the name Pyragraphorus hollisae. RNAcentral describes it as "partial 28S ribosomal RNA". Lineage: Eukaryota; Metazoa; Platyhelminthes; Monogenea; Mazocraeidea; Pyragraphoridae. The record is from RNAcentral.
CCGCUUAGAAGCAAACGGGUGUAGUCAAGCUGCAAGCCUCUAGAAAUAGGUGGGUCAGANUGGCGUGAGUCUGAGCACGAAGGGCUGGCAGGUGGAUCCGACUUUUGUUGGGUUCGGCUCGCAAGGGUCGAAUUUGUGAAGCGUCAAGGCGCUGCAAGUCUGCUUGUCAGUUGCUCUACUGGCCCUCUUAAUUUCUUUUGGCGUAUGUCACGACCGUCUUUGCUGUCGGUCUGCUUCGUUCAAACCGUUCCGUGAGUAGUUUCUUGCUGCUUGCGUUUCGGGGGCAGGUAGCUGAUCCAGUUUCGGCUGGGUUAGUGUAAUUGCUGAGCGGAGUGGUAUCUGUAACUGUGCAGUAAGAUGGGACUGGCGGUGCAUUGUUGCUGAGCGCGCUAAAGCGUGUCGGCGUGGUUGGAGUAUGGCUACUUGUUGCUGUUAAUAACGGCCUUGUGGUUGCCCGACUGCGGUUUGGCAUGCGGCUGCGUUUGGUCAAUCUUUGCGUUGUGCCUACAGUCUGUGGCGUAGUGGUAGACA